This is a long non-coding RNA of Cavia porcellus (domestic guinea pig), 883 nucleotides long. RefSeq lists it as uncharacterized. NCBI's taxonomy places the organism in Eukaryota, Metazoa, Chordata, Mammalia, Rodentia, Caviidae. The record is from RefSeq and is a predicted model, not a curated record. The transcript has 2 exons.
CUCGGGGCGCUCACACAACAGCACAGAGCGCGUCCAGAGGCAACGAGAGCCAGAAGACCACGGACCGACUCCUCUUACUCGGCGGCGGGCCCCCUGCGCCGAGAGCCGCCGCCGAAGGAGAGAGGGACUGCGCCUGCGCCGGAAGCGGGGCUGGCCGCCCGGAGCCGCAGGUCCUAACUGUCGCCUCGAGAUACCUUCCAGCGCCUUGGGCUUGCCGGCAGUCAGAAGUUCGCUGAGUUGAGAGCUGGUUCUACCCCGCUGAGACUCGGCGCCCGCACAGUUCACACCUCAUGAGGCGCGUGUUGAGCGCGACGGGAAGGACAGCCGGACAGAACCCAGAUCCCGCCGUUCUGCAGCGGCCUGCGUUCCAGAACGUACUCUGUGUGCCUGCCUUCUCCCACCUUUUCCGUGAGCGAUUCCAUCGAACUUCCACUCCACUUUAAGACCUACCCAUACGAAAAGUGAAAUUACAGACAACCAAGCAUCUAAAAACCCGAGAAAAGAUAAGCAAUCACAUUCUGUCUCUAAGUUUACUGAGAGAGCUGCAAUUUAUGUGAUACACAUUGAAAAGGACCAUUAUUCUAUGCAUUGAGCUCAUCUUACAGAAGAUAAAGAAAAGUAAGUUACAGAAUUCUGAUAGGAAUCAGAAUUCGUAGGUUUGAGCCUGCCAUCUACCAUCUGUUGUGACCCUGGGCAAGUUUAAACUUUCAUCUCAGUUUCCUCAUUUGUAAGUGGGUCAAGUAAGAAUAUCUACCACAUUGAAUUGUUGAGAGUUUAGGUGGCUUAAUAUAUGUAAAAAAUGUACAAGACCAGCUAUUAUUAUUAAUUACUGUUAACAUCCCCCUACAAUCCAACAGAAAACUAAAAAUUCGGUUUUAUUCCA